AAACUUUUAGUAUAAUUUAGUAUUUUUAAUUGCAAAUUAAAAGGUGUUGAAAGUUUU
Molecule: transfer RNA, 57 nt
Filed under: Cylicostephanus minutus
Lineage: Eukaryota; Metazoa; Nematoda; Chromadorea; Rhabditida; Strongylidae
Description: tRNA-Cys
Source: RNAcentral